RNAcentral lists this ribosomal RNA (253 nucleotides) under Barnesiella intestinihominis YIT 11860. Its description in RNAcentral is "partial 16S ribosomal RNA". It matches the Rfam family "Bacterial small subunit ribosomal RNA", at positions 524 to 776 of the family's 1533-position model. Lineage: Bacteria; Pseudomonadati; Bacteroidota; Bacteroidia; Bacteroidales; Barnesiellaceae. The record is from RNAcentral. RNAcentral also lists the same sequence under 1 other name.
UACGGAGGAUGCAAGCGUUAUCCGGAUUUAUUGGGUUUAAAGGGUGCGUAGGCGGCACGCCAAGUCAGCGGUGAAAUUUCCGGGCUCAACCCGGACUGUGCCGUUGAAACUGGCGAGCUAGAGUACACAAGAGGCAGGCGGAAUGCGUGGUGUAGCGGUGAAAUGCAUAGAUAUCACGCAGAACCCCGAUUGCGAAGGCAGCCUGCUAGGGUGAAACAGACGCUGAGGCACGAAAGCGUGGGUAUCGAACAGG